CCUAGAAUGAAUCUGAGAAUGAAAUUAGUUGGGAAAGGAAUUAGAGAAUAGUAAAGAGAGAGAUAUUUUGCAGAGAAUGAUAAAUGGAAGAAAGAAAUAGGAAAGAAAGGAAUAUCUGGAGAUUGAAAGAGAGAAGAUGAGAAGAAUUGAGAGAGAGAAAGGGAUUUCUAUUAAUUCUUGGAAUUUCAAGAAAGAAAGAAGAAG
This 204-nucleotide unclassified non-coding RNA is filed under the name Hevea brasiliensis (rubber tree). The record is from RNAcentral. Lineage: Eukaryota; Viridiplantae; Streptophyta; Magnoliopsida; Malpighiales; Euphorbiaceae.